Molecule: long non-coding RNA, 4593 nt
Filed under: Papio anubis (olive baboon)
Lineage: Eukaryota; Metazoa; Chordata; Mammalia; Primates; Cercopithecidae
Description: lncRNA (ENSPANG00000044655.1)
Source: RNAcentral
AUGGGGUUUCACCAUGUUGACCAGGAUGUUCUCAAACUCCUGACCUCAGGUGAUCUGCCUGCCUCGGCCUCCCAGAGUGCUGGGAUUACAAGUGUGAGCCACCGCGCCCAGCCUACCUCCUCAUCUUUCUUUUUUUUUUUUUUUUUUUUUUUUUUUUUUUUUGAGGCCCAGUCUGCAAGCUCUGUCGCCCAGGCUGGGUGCAGUGGCGGAUCUCCAGCUCACCACCAGCUCCGCCUCCCGGGGUCCAGCCAUUCUCCUGCCUCAGCCUCCCGAGUAGCUGGAAGCUACAGCCCUGGCCAGCGCCCGGCUAAGUUUUGUAUAUUUUUUUUUUUUGAGACGGAGUUUCACUCUUGUUGUCCAGGCUGGAGUGCAAUGGCGCGAUCUCAGUUCACCCCAACCUCCACCUCCUGGGUUCAAGUGAUUCUCCUGCCUUGAGUAGCUCCUGCCUUCCGAGUAGCUGGGAUUACAGGCAUGUGCUACCAUGGCCGGCUAAUUUUGUAUUUUUAGUAGAGAUGGGGUUUCUCCAUGUUAGUCAGGCUGGUCUCGAACUCCCAACCUCCGGUGAUCUGCCCGCCUCAGCCUCCCAAAGUGCUGGGAUUACAGGCGUGAGCCACCAUGCCCGGCCAAGCUGUGCUCUUAUACAUAUAAUGCUAUGGCUUGAAUGUGUCCCUCGUAAGUUCAUAUAUUGGAAACUUAAUGGUCGUUAUAAUGGUAUUAAGAAGUGAGACAUUUAAGAGGUGGUUAGCCAGGAGGACUCUGCACUCAUGAGUGGACUGAUGCUGUUAUUGCAGGAGUGAGCUCCUGAGAAAAGGAUAAGUUUGGUCUCUUUUCUCUCUGUCUCUUAUGGUGGGCAUAGAUGCCAUGUGAUACCUUCCACCACAGGAUGACCCUCACCAGAUGCCAGUGCCAUGCUCUUGGACUUCCCAGCUUCUAGAACCACGAGCCAAAUAAACAUCUUUUCUACAUAAAUUAUGCAGUCUGUGGUAUUUUGUUGUAACAGCAGAAGAUAGACUGUGACACAGUGAAUGUCACAUGCUGAGUAUUAUUCUACCCGAUCCUCCCGUCUCUCGUUGGUACAGAGAAACACAGGUGUGAAUAUGAGAGUGAGUAAGAAACCUCCACUCAGUACUUGCUGCGGUAUUUGCUGCAGCUCCUGCACACACAUCUUUGCUCUGCAUGUUCCAUUGUUCCAACAUUUCCACUAAUUACACAUGAUGCAUCAUCCACAGCCCCCGCCCCGCCGCCAACCUGCCCCCAGUGUCUCUAGUCCUCACACUCUGUGUUACACCUUCAGUUAUACCUCGUGUCUUUGCACCUGCACGCAUCCUCGCACUUGGUGCCUUUACACCUGCGUGCAUCUCCUUGAAGCCUGUGCUAUACAUUACCCUUGAUAUUUGUAAUGUGUUACACACACACACAUUCUUCCUCUCCCUGGCAGAUUUAUGCUACUGAGAAGAAUACCACCUCCUCCAAGCAGCCCCUUGAAGCCUUACCAGUUGGGGACUGAUAGAUACCAACUCAUAUUCUCUCUAGAAAAGCUAUUGAGCUCUGUGACUGCAUCCCUGGCACCUGUCCAGAGAAUAUUGUUUGGGCACCAUAAAUUACCAUCAAGUUGCUGUUUCAAGGGGCUCUGUAAUGGCUGGCACAGGAACAGGACAGGAAGGAGGAAAUAAAGUUUUACCCUGUCAUCUCAGGGCCUGGCAUCCCUCCCCCAGGCACCAAGGGAGGUUGCUUGGAAGUCCCCAGGCUCCUCUCACUUGUCAUUUUCUCAUGUGGAUCACUCUGACGCUCCUCAUUGUAGCACACACACAGGGCCACUCCUUACUGCACAUAGCCCAUCGCUCCUGUCUUAGGAUUAUCAGCAUCUCUGCUUCCUCCAAGCAGUGGCAGCUCCUCAGGAGGUCUGUGGGGUGCGGGAGGGACUAGGGGGUUGGGGCAGUCAAUUCUCUUUUUCACACUCAGCUCAUGCAGUCAACUGAGGUAGUUGAAGAGGAGAAGAAUCGGGGUAGAGACCUCAGAGAAGAAGAGGAGGAUCAGGGUAGAGACCUUAGCCUGUAGUUCUAGAACCCUUGGCUUGCGGAGUGUCACUUGGAUGAACAUAGGAAGUAUCGAUAAAUGUCUCCUUAGGGAGAAGAGGCUCCUUCCUUGUGAAUGCUGGGAUCUUGAGUAGGGGAGAAAUAAGGGAGAAGUGGGUGGGGAGGGAAUGCAUUAGAGCAGUGGCUUGCUACUGGGGUCCAUUUUACCUUUCAAGAGGACAUUUGGCAACGUCUGAGAGGCUGUCACGAAUCGGCAGGGGUGGGGUGUGAGGUGGGUAGAGGCCAGGGAUGCUGUUAAACAUCUUCUAUGCACCGGAUGGCUUCCCACAACAAAGCCAUCUGGCCCAAAUGUCAAUGGUGCCACAAUUGAGAAACCCGGUACUAGCACAUAGGAUGGCCCCAUGGGCAGGACCACCUCUGCAGAAAGUGAAGGGAAGUCCUGCUCCCCAUGUGUGGAGGGAGGGAGUCGGGAUCCACAGUGAAGGAGCAGCAGACUUCCAGCCCCGCACAGACCAGACCGUUCUUCCCAGGGGACAGGCUCUCCAGGCUGGUGUUGGCUGGUGGCUUCCUGCAUUCCCAGAAGAAGGGAAAGGCCAUGGUAUCCUCAGGGCGGGUAGCUGAGAAACCCUGCAGAGCCGGGUGACUUUUGGCUAUUCAGAUUCAAUCUAGAUCCUCCCAAUGCACUAUCUGUGCACUCAUCCAAGUGCUUUCCACCAAAUCCCCAUCAAAGCGGAGCUAACUGCCCUUCCCCAGUGUCCCUGCCAUGCCCUUCUCUUCCCAGCACUUCCACAUUAUUAUUAUUUUGUGAGAUGGAGUUUCGCUCUUGUUGCCCAGGCUGGAGUGCAAUGGCAUGAUCUCAGUUCACUGCAACCUCUGCCUCCUGGGUUCAAGUGAUUCUCCUGCUCAGCCUCCCAAGUAGCUGGGAUUACAGGGAUGCACCACCAUGCCUGGCUAAUUUUGUAUUUUUAGUAGACAUGGGGUUUCUCCAUGUUGGUCAGGCUGGUCUCGAACUCCCGACCUCAGGUGAUCCACCUGCCUUGGCCUCCCAAAGUGCUGGGAUUACAGGCGUGAGCCACUGCUCCUGGCCACUUUCACAUUAUUAUUAUUAUAUUAUUAUUAUUAUUUUGAGAUGGAGUCUUCCUCUGUUGCCCAGGCUGGAGUGGAGUUGCUCCAUCUCAGCUCACUGCAACCACCUCCUCCUGGGUUUAAGCGAUUCUCCUGCCUCAGCCCUCAGAGUAGCUGGGGUUACAGGUCCCCACCACUGCACCCAGCUAAUUUUUUUUUGUAUUUUUAGUAGAGAUGGGGUUUAACCAUGUUGGCCAUGGUUGGCCAGGCUGGUCUCGAACUCUUGACCUCAAGUGAUCCUCCCGCCUUAGCCUCCCAAAGUACUGGGAUUACAGGCAUGAGCUACCGUGCCCGGUCCACUUCCACAUUAUAUUGCUUAUUUGCUUCUUGGUGUUUCCCAUUAGACUCCUCCUGAAUGGCUGUGUUUUAUUCAUCCCUCUGUCCCCAUCACCUGGCUUUGUCCACUGAGCACCUAUGGCAUAUCAGGCACCAUUUGUGGACAGAAUGGACGGAAGCAUGAUUUCAGUAGAUAUUGGCAAUUAACACGUUUUUGUCUAGGCAGUUAUUUUCCUUGUAAGAACCACUCCUUUCCCGCUGUUCAUGGCUCUGGAAAGGCUGAUGGGGUUUGGGCCAAUUCAUGGUCUUCUGUUGAUAGAGGGAGGGUCUCUUUGCCAUUCCCAUGACUGGUGCAAGGAUAUAGGUUUGGGCCUGUUGGCAACCAUCUUUCCUACAUAUGGAAUAAAUCAAUGUGAAAAUAAGGCCACAUCCCAAGGGAAGCGGCAUUGAGAGGUGGAGCAAAGACUGUACCUUGUGAACAUCUUUGUGCCCCUGGAUCUGACCACAUCUGAAGCCAGUCCUGCCUUUGGAUAUCCUGGUUUUUGCUUUGCGUUAGGAUUCUGUCACUGACCCCUGCAAGUCUCCUGAUUAAUACAGAGAUGCUGCCCGGGGGCAGAAACCAGCCUGUGUUCACUUUCUCCAUCUUCACUGCAGCAUUCUACGUAAUACAUGUUUCCUAAACGUUCACGUGGUUGACUAACAGCCAGUGGGGCAGAUUCCUUGUGGCCAAAGGCUCUAGCCUGAGAACAAAAUCUGUAUGUAUGUGGCCGAGAUAAGACCAUGAUAAGGGAUUGUUGAGGGAGUGGCCUGGGAAUGGAAACAGCCUGAGCUGACUGAGAAGUGAAGAUUCCCAGCCACCUGGGAGGGGCCUGUUCCUGAUCCGCAGUGUGGCCUCUUUAAGCCUCAAUUUUCACACUGUUUCACAGAGUGGCUGGGAAGUUCAAAUAACAGCAAUUAAUUGGGUAGAAGUGUUUUAUGAAUGCAUGAGUGUAAGGACAUCCCUUUUACUGUCCCUAGAAUUGGGCUCAGUUCGGGGACAGGGAUCAUCUCUGGAAGAGCAGCUACUGGGUAGACGGUCCCUAAGAGGGUCUAGGCAUUGCUUCUUCUGUCCUCUCUGUCCUGGAGCCUUCUAGGAGAGCAAGGCCCCAGGGCUUUA